GCCACGAAGCACACUCAUUGUGACCACCAUUCUCUCCCCGGAAAAAACAGCCCCCCAAAUCGCUGCGUCUUCAAAGGAUUAUAUCAAAAUCCACGAGCCCAUCUCUUUCACAAUGUCGCGCAAUAUGAUCGUCAACAUGUCUUUCAACUGCCCCGAGAUUCAAAUUCUCGGGCCGGUGCAAGAGAGCACCAUUGAACGACUCAAUGAGGUGCUUCCUGACUCGACAACUUCGACUCGCAGCAUCCGCAGUAACCAGCCAAAGUUCGAGUACCUGUCGAAUCCUGAUCACUGGAGAAUCAAACUGGACAACCAGUUCUGCGACCUCGAGGGUGUGUCGCGCUUGAUUGUUCUUUUGCUGGACGCGCUCGAGGAAGAGGGCGGCUGGACGCUUAUAUCGUCCCAGGCUUCCAGUUCUUCUCAUGGAGGCGCACUGCAGCAGGAUUUCGUGUCGAACUACAAGCUUUUCUUCUCCAAGUACCAAGAUGACGAGUGAGCACAGAUGUAGUUGAUAUGGGGAAUGCGUUUCUUUUACCAUUUCCUCCUUCGCUAUGAAGAUAAAAAUCAAAAGGAGGCUCAACGCCGUUUGAUAGCGUGGCUUUUAUUGAAAGCUCUAAGCCAGCAGACGCAGUUUUGCAGUUUGUUCUCUAUGUAGUCUCAGAAAUUUCCGUUCAUGUAUACUAGUUUUUUGUGUGUGUUGUGCGAAACAGAGUAAAUACAGCAAAAAAGUGACCGCGUGAGCAGUGCGCCUUAGCUGCAGGUCAAGGAUGAUGUAUGCAGUACGUAUGCUGCCUAGUUCGCAUGCAAAUAGCAUUUUUUCUUUCUCCAGCACUUGGAACGCCAAG
Molecule: unclassified non-coding RNA, 842 nt
Filed under: Leishmania donovani
Lineage: Eukaryota; Euglenozoa; Kinetoplastea; Trypanosomatida; Trypanosomatidae
Description: gene:LdHU3.33.0950(CDS-product:paraflagellar_rod_ component_putative)
Source: RNAcentral